RNAcentral lists this long non-coding RNA (2182 nucleotides) under Homo sapiens (human). RNAcentral describes it as "non-protein coding lnc-LDHAL6A-1:1". The record is from RNAcentral. Lineage: Eukaryota; Metazoa; Chordata; Mammalia; Primates; Hominidae.
UGGGUUCCAACCAACCCGCCCCUCGAGUGCCGGAAUCAGCAGGACGAAUCGGGUCCCAAAGAUGUGGGCAAGACUGUUCCGAGGGUCGAAACUCUGGUUCAGGAUAAGAUUAGCAGGUAUUUCACAGAGUCGACUUAAGGAAGCUAGUGCCGGAGAGGGAAGAAGUACGAAGGGCUUGCCAGUGAGCCUUAAUGACUGAUUGAUCAAGUGGGAGGGCACUGCACUGGCGGUCAGAGAACUGUUCUGUCACUGACUUGCUCUUGUGAUAAUGGUAGGCUAGUGCAUUUCUAGCUCAGGCGCAAAUUUCUCCCGACUCUAAAGUCAUACACUUGCCUUAGAUGAUGCCCAGUGGUCCUCUAAUUAAUGAUUUUUUUUAAGCUUAAAGACCUUCAUACUAUACGUUGGCAAGGGUAAAGUGUAGAGCCUUUGUUUCACAAGAAGCCAGAUAGUAAUUUCUUCUCCAGGAAAUCAUUCCGUAAGUCAGAAUUUCUCCUCUGUACCCACCCAUAAAUGAUAAUACAGGCCGUAUUUUACCUGGUGCUGUAUUUGUGUACCUGUCCGCUGUCAAAAUCCAAGCCCUUGAAGGCAGGCUUCCUUCAGAUCUUCAUUGCCUUGCACAAUGCAAGGGUAGGUACUUCCAUCUUAAUUGAAUUUUUACUUCCCAUAAAAAUUCUUCAUGGUGACUUACAUUAGUCAUCAUUACACAUCACCGUCAGUUUUGUAAGCACAGUGUCAUUCAAGGUAUUGUAAAAUUUUGAGUUUGAUGAUGUGUGACAGUUUCAAUUAUUUUAGUACAGCCCUAAUGAGAACAAGGCCGUAGUAUUGAUUCCCUUCAAAGUUGGCGUCUAAGUGAAGGUCACAUUCACAAGGAGGGCCUAACUGAAAGCAUGUGGAAGCAUCAUUAUAAACUGUUGCUAACACGCACAAAUAAAGGCUAUUAAUAGGUAUUGUUUUUCUUUUUCUUUUUCUUUUUUUUUUUUUUUUGAGUCACUCUCACUCCAUCGCCCAGGCUGGAGUGCAGUAGCACCAUCUCGGCUCACUGCAACCUCCGCCUCUGUUUUUCAGCUCCUUAGUUAAGCAUACAGCUCCAGUCAAACCAAACUAGAGGUCUGUCUGUCCUUCCAUUUUACUUGCUGUUUUAUGUCUUUUAAAAGCAAGAAGGUUUUCAAACUGUUCUUAAAGCCACGGCUUAACCAGGAGUCCCUUUAAUUAGAGCAACUGUACCUUUGUGAGUUGGAGGAAUGCCAGGUAAUAUAUAUUAUUUAUAUAUUUUAUAAAUGCAACAUUUAUAAAUAUUAAAAUAAAUUUUACAUAUAUAUAUAUAUAUAUAUAUAUAUAUAUAUAUAUUUUUUUUUUUUUUUUUUUUUUUUUUUUUUGAGACAGAGUUUUGCUCUUGCUUCCCAGGCUGGAGUGCGAUAGUGUGAUCUUGGCUCACUGCAACCUCUGCCUCCCGGGUUCAAGCGAUUCUCCUGCCUAAGCCUCCCGAGUAGCUGGGAUUACAGGUGCCCACCACCACACCCAGCUAAUUUUUUGUAUUUUUAGUAGAGACAGGAUUUCACUAUGUUGGCCAGGCUGGUCUGGAACUCUUGACCUCAGGUGAUCCACCCGCCUCAGCCUGCCAGAAUGUUGGGAUUACAGGCGUAAGCCACUGCGCCCAGCCCAUUUAUAUAUUUUUGUUGCCCAGGUCAUGGUGCAGUGAUGUGAACAUGGCCCACUGCAGCCUCGACCUCCCUGGCUCAAGUGAUCCUCCUGCCUCAGCCUCCCAUGUAUAUUGGGACCACAUGCGUGUGCCACCAUGCCCAGCUAAUUUUUAAUUUCUUUGUAAAGAUGAGGUCUUACUUUGUUGCCCAGGCUGGCCUCAGAACUCCUGGGCUCAGGUGAUCCUCCCACCUUAGCCUCCCAAAGUGCUGGGAUUACAGGUGUGAGUCACUGUGCCCAGCAAUAUAUUGUUUAAAAAAGCUUUCUUGCUGCAUGUUUACUAUCAGUCUUUUGCAAUCUUUUAGGGUCAACACUAUACCUCAAUAUAAAGUGUUAACUUCUUAUCUAUUUCAUUGGAACCAUGGAGGAUUGAAUGUGUGUGGGGAAAAUGUCUUUGUGGUUUUAGAAAUAUGCAAAAUCAGUUAAUUUUUUAAUGUGAAGGUAAUAGUAGUUGAAAUGCUUUUGAAAGUUGCUUGCCAUUUCA